GGCUUGUCAAUUGUGCCGCAUGAACAUGUAAGGUAUAAAAAUACUAGUAUGAGAAUCGUAUGUUGAGCUUGUCAACUUGUCAACAUACCUAUAGAACUGGAGGGCGAACACCUGAAGGGAAAAGGCUUUUACGAUAAGGGAAUUUAAAAAAAAAUAUAGAUUUAUGGAGAGUGUAGCAAGAGCUUGACAUUGAGCUUGUCUCCGGGAACCUGAAUUCAAAGAAGAAAAGGCUGAAAAAGAAAAAAAAAAGAUGCAAGAUAAAAAUUAAAUCAGUGAUUCCAUAAUCCUCCCUCCUCCUUCCACCGAAUUUAACCGGGUUUUUAUUUAAAAAAAAUCACAGAAAAUUUGAAGUCCCAGAUGUCACAAAGGUGUUGUCUUCAGUCA
RNAcentral lists this small RNA (384 nucleotides) under Histoplasma capsulatum var. duboisii H88. Its description in RNAcentral is "Histoplasma capsulatum H88 hypothetical RNA". The record is from RNAcentral. Lineage: Eukaryota; Fungi; Ascomycota; Eurotiomycetes; Onygenales; Ajellomycetaceae.